Molecule: ribosomal RNA, 301 nt
Filed under: uncultured bacterium
Lineage: Bacteria
Description: partial 16S ribosomal RNA
Rfam family: Bacterial small subunit ribosomal RNA
Source: RNAcentral
CAGCAGCCACGGGAAUACGGAGGGGGCUAGCGUUGUUCGGAAUUACUGGGCGUAAAGCGCACGUAGGCGGCUUGGUAAGUUAGAGGUGAAAGCCCGGAGCUCAACUCCGGAAUUGCCUUUAAGACUGCCGAGCUAGCAGGUGAGAGAGGUAAGUGGAAUUCCGAGUGUAGAGGUGAAAUUCGUAGAUAUUCGGAAGAACACCAGUGGCGAAGGCGGCUUACUGGCUCAUACUGGACGCUGAGGUGCGAAAGCGUGGGGAGCAAACAGGAUUAGAUACCCGCGUAGUCCCUGUCUCUUAUAC